AGUGAACGCUGGCGGUAGGCCUAACACAUGCAAGUCGAACGGCAGCACAGUAAGAGCUUGCUCUUACGGGUGGCGAGUGGCGGACGGGUGAGGAAUACAUCGGAAUCUACUUUUUCGUGGGGGAUAACGUAGGGAAGCUUACGCUAAUACCGCAUACGACCUACGGGUGAUAGCAGGGGAUCUUCGGACCUUGCGCGAUUGAAUGAGCCGAUGUCGGAUUAGCUAGUUGGCGGGGUAAAGGCCCACCAAGGCGACGAUCCGUAGCUGGUCUGAGAGGAUGAUCAGCCACACUGGAACUGAGACACGGUCCAGACUCCUACGGGAGGCAGCAGUGGGGAAUAUUGGACAAUGGGCGCAAGCCUGAUCCAGCCAUACCGCGUGGGUGAAGAAGGCCUUCGGGUUGUAAAGCCCUUUUGUUGGGAAAGAAAAGCAGCAGGUUAAUACCCCGCUGUUCUGACGGUACCCAAAGAAUAAGCACCGGCUAACUUCGUG
This 492-nucleotide ribosomal RNA is filed under the name uncultured bacterium. Its description in RNAcentral is "partial 16S ribosomal RNA". It matches the Rfam family "Bacterial small subunit ribosomal RNA", at positions 29 to 507 of the family's 1533-position model. The record is from RNAcentral.